UUGGCGAACGGGUGAGUAACGCGUGAGUAACCUGCCCUGGAGUGGGGGACAACAGUUGGAAACGACUGCUAAUACCGCAUAAGCCCACGAUCCGGCAUCGGAUUGGGGGAAAAGGAUUUAUUCGCUUCAGGAUGGACUCGCGUCCAAUUAGCUGGUUGGUGAGACAACGGCCCACCAAGGCGACGAUUGGUAGCCGGACUGAGAGGUUGAACGGCCACAUUGGGACUGAGACACGGCCCAG
Molecule: ribosomal RNA, 241 nt
Filed under: uncultured bacterium
Lineage: Bacteria
Description: partial 16S ribosomal RNA
Rfam family: Bacterial small subunit ribosomal RNA
Source: RNAcentral